This 470-nucleotide ribosomal RNA is filed under the name uncultured bacterium. RNAcentral describes it as "bacterial SSU rRNA". It matches the Rfam family "Bacterial small subunit ribosomal RNA", at positions 328 to 794 of the family's 1533-position model. The record is from RNAcentral.
GUUCCAGACUCCUACGGGAGGCAGCAGUGAGGAAUAUUGGUCAAUGGGCGCAAGCCUGAACCAGCCAAGUCGCGUGAGGGAUGACGGUCCUAUGGCUUGUAAACCUCUUUUGUCGGGGAGCAAGGCCCGCCACGUGUGGCGGGAAGGAGAGUACCCGAAGAAAAAGCAUCGGCUAACUCCGUGCCAGCAGCCGCGGUAAUACGGAGGAUGCGAGCGUUAUCCGGAUUUAUUGGGUUUAAAGGGUGCGUAGGCGGAAUGCCAAGUCAGCGGUAAAAUCGCGGGGCUCAACCUCGCUCCGCCGUUGAAACUGGCGUUCUUGAGUGGGCGAGAAGUAUGCGGAAUGCGUGGUGUAGCGGUGAAAUGCAUAGAUAUCACGCAGAACUCCGAUUGCGAAGGCAGCAUACCGGCGCCCAACUGACGCUGAAGCACGAAAGCGUGGGUAUCGAACAGGAUUAGAUACCCGUGUACGU